This 222-nucleotide long non-coding RNA is filed under the name Vicia faba (fava bean). Lineage: Eukaryota; Viridiplantae; Streptophyta; Magnoliopsida; Fabales; Fabaceae. The record is from RNAcentral.
AUGAUAAAACAUUUCCAGUAUGCAUGCCCUCUCUGUUCAAAAUCAGUCUGUGAUAUGUCGAAGGUUUGGGAGAAAUUGGACAUGGGGAUUCCUGCUCGUGCCAUUAGAAAUGUAGAAGAUGGAGAGCCAUGGGACUUGACUGUUUUUGAUACCAUAGUUGUGGAAGUAUCUGGAAUUGCUAAUGAUGCUAUAGAAUUGAUUGGAAAAACUCAGUCAUUGUAA